UGCAGAAUCCCGUGAACCAUCGAGUCUUUGAACGCAAGUUGCGCCUGAAGCCAUUAGGCUGAGGGCACGUCUGCCUGGGCGUCACGC
Molecule: ribosomal RNA, 87 nt
Filed under: Microula pseudotrichocarpa
Lineage: Eukaryota; Viridiplantae; Streptophyta; Magnoliopsida; Boraginales; Boraginaceae
Description: partial 5.8S ribosomal RNA
Rfam family: 5.8S ribosomal RNA
About the family: 5.8S ribosomal RNA (5.8S rRNA) is a component of the large subunit of the eukaryotic ribosome.
Source: RNAcentral